This 73-nucleotide transfer RNA is filed under the name Pestalotiopsis fici W106-1. RNAcentral's name for it is "tRNA-Val (TAC) (tRNA-Val-TAC-1-1)". It matches the Rfam family "tRNA". From Rfam's summary of the family: Transfer RNA (tRNA) molecules are approximately 80 nucleotides in length. Their secondary structure includes four short double-helical elements and three loops (D, anti-codon, and T loops). Further hydrogen bonds mediate the characteristic L-shaped molecular structure. tRNAs have two regions of fundamental functional importance: the anti-codon, which is responsible for specific mRNA codon recognition, and the 3' end, to which the tRNAs corresponding amino acid is attached (by aminoacyl-tRNA synthetases). tRNAs cope with the degeneracy of the genetic code in two manners: having more than one tRNA (with a specific anti-codon) for a particular amino acid; and 'wobble' base-pairing, i.e. permitting non-standard base-pairing at the 3rd anti-codon position. Lineage: Eukaryota; Fungi; Ascomycota; Sordariomycetes; Amphisphaeriales; Sporocadaceae. The record is from RNAcentral.
GUCGAAUUGGCCUAGUGGUUAGGGCAUCUCCUUUACACGGAGAGGAUCGCAGGUUCGAUCCCUGCAUUCGACA